Molecule: ribosomal RNA, 467 nt
Filed under: uncultured bacterium
Lineage: Bacteria
Description: partial 16S ribosomal RNA
Rfam family: Bacterial small subunit ribosomal RNA
Source: RNAcentral
GACGAACGCUGGCGGCGUGCUUAACACAUGCAAGUCGAACGGAAAGGCCCUGCUUUUGUGGGGUGCUCGAGUGGCGAACGGGUGAGUAACACGUGAGUAACCUGCCCUUGACUUUGGGAUAACUUCAGGAAACUGGGGCUAAUACCGGAUAGGAGCUCCUGCUGCAUGGUGGGGGUUGGAAAGUUUCGGCGGUUGGGGAUGGACUCGCGGCUUAUCAGCUUGUUGGUGGGGUAGUGGCUUACCAAGGCUUUGACGGGUAGCCGGCCUGAGAGGGUGACCGGCCACAUUGGGAAGGAGAUACGGCCCAGACUCCUACGGGAGGCAGCAGUGGGGAAUAUGGCACAAUGGGCGGAAGCCUGAUGCAGCAACGCCGCGUGCGGGAGGACGGCCUUCGGGUUGUAAACCGCUUUCGCCUGUGACGAAGCGUGAGUGACGGUAAUGGGUAAAGAAGCACCGGCUAACUACGU